AGCUUUGUGUAGUGGCAGUAUCAUAGCCAAUGAGGUUUAUCCGAGGCGUGAUUAUUUCGAAUUGAAAACGUUCCCAAUACACGGCCUUAACGACCUGCAAUAUAAUCAGCAUUGACAAUUUUUGACAGUCUCUAUAGAGA
This 140-nucleotide small nuclear RNA is filed under the name Spermophilus dauricus (Daurian ground squirrel). Its description in RNAcentral is "U4 spliceosomal RNA (ENSSDAG00000009126.1)". It matches the Rfam family "U4 spliceosomal RNA". Rfam says of the family: U4 small nuclear RNA (U4 snRNA) is a component of the major U2-dependent spliceosome. The structure of U4 snRNA from yeast and human has been reported. U4 snRNA presents a k-turn RNA motif in the 5p-SL related to recognition of Snu13 protein. Lineage: Eukaryota; Metazoa; Chordata; Mammalia; Rodentia; Sciuridae. The record is from Rfam by way of RNAcentral.